Molecule: transfer RNA, 74 nt
Filed under: Faecalibacterium prausnitzii
Lineage: Bacteria; Bacillati; Bacillota; Clostridia; Eubacteriales; Oscillospiraceae
Also listed under: 33 other names
Description: tRNA-Gln
Rfam family: tRNA
About the family: Transfer RNA (tRNA) molecules are approximately 80 nucleotides in length. Their secondary structure includes four short double-helical elements and three loops (D, anti-codon, and T loops).
Source: RNAcentral
UGCGCCAUCGCCAAGCGGUAAGGCAGGGGACUUUGACUCCCCCAUCGUAGGUUCGACUCCUGCUGGCGCAACCA